CCUGCAGGAGCCAGGCUGCCUGCGAGCUGCAGUUGCCGCCGCUGCCGCUGUCGCGCCACCGCCGCUGUCGCUGUCAGCGCCCGUCUGGAGAGUGACAGCACUGAAAAAGCAGGAGGGAGAACCGAACCCCGUGCCUUUUACGAAACAAGUGCAUGCGCCCAUCUCCUGGCGAGUGGACCCAGCUCGCAAGGUAACCGUUCAUGAGCCUGAGGCUGUGAGAAAUGCUCACUGUGCAAAGGGGAACUCUCACCAGAUUUUCUGAAGCUGUCCUAGAAAUACGGUUUUCAGAUUGAUUCAGCAUUACCAGCUUAUCCGACAAAAGUAUUAACAUAUCCAUUAACAACGUCGAAAGUAGCCUACUUUAAGAGAAAAUAUGCAGAAGAAGAAGAUUUACAUCAGGAUUACCAUGGGUAUUUUCCAAAACACCUGAUAUUACCCGAGGACAGGACUUGUAUUCUCAAACUGUCCCUGGAGAAGCUCAGGUUUCUUGAAGACCCAGAAACCUACUUGAGAAGGUCUGUGUUAAUUAACAAUUUGCUGAGGAAGAUCCACCUAGAGACGGAGAAAGAGAGCUAUGAAUACUUUAAAGAAGCUCCCUGUUAUAAGACUGCUUAUUCUGAUACAAGAAAACGGCUGAAGUUUAUGGUACAGGAAUGCUGUUCUCAGUCUCUCUAUUAUGAAGAGCUGCAUUCGUAUCAUAUUGUGCCUUAUGCUUCGGAGAAUGCCAUUUAUGGAAUGGGCUACACUAGCAGCCACUUGGAGCAAAAUUCUCAGUUGCUUAUUUAUAAAAUGAAUUAAAGUAACUGUUAAGUUCAUUGAUACUUUGUUUCUAAAAUGCCUGAACUGUUUAUAGUGAAGAUGUUAACAUAAGGCACUCUUUACCAGUGCACUUGAGAUCAAAGAUGAGAUGCAUGCUGAACUGAUUGGAGAGAACUCUGGUUAUUACUCAGCAGUCCUUUGUAUUAUCAAGUCAAAUUGGAUAUGUGUCCACAUAUUAUAAAGUGGCAAGUAAGUGCUUUAGAAGCAAAAAAUAAAUAAAUAAAAUUUUUUUAAAGAUAAGGUAUGUUGGAAGAGACCUACAUCAAUAUCUUACACAGAUUUAAACAUUUCAAGCCCACUAUUUCCAAAUUCUGCCACUUAUAGUGGAAAGUAACAAAAAGUAACAGAUUAAACCCAUAAAAUCUUGUCCCUGAGGACUGAGGGUGGAACAAAUUUACGGUAAUUUUCCGUAAAUGAGGAGGAGAGGAAUAGGUUCUUUCUGAAAAGCUUUGGCUCGUCAAGCAUUGUGCCAAAUAAUUAUUUGACACCAUUCUCCUUUUACCAUUAGUGGCAAUUCAAGAUGGGGCAAAUAAGCUGUAACUUAACUGCUGAAUGUAACAACCAGACUACUCCAAACUGAUCCAUCUUACUUUUUUUUUUUUUCCCGCUUGAUCUUCUCUUUAAAAGUGAAAUUUAAUAAAAUAGCCUUGUGGAUGGGCUUAUCUCUAAGUUCUAAGGGUGGUUAAAAUUUGUGGUGGGCCUUUAGUUAAGAGUUUAAAUUUUAUUUAUGAUGUCAUUUUUAUAGGCUGUGAAGCUCAGGAAAAGGGUAAGCAGGUAAAAUUUGUUUUUAAUAAGUUGAUAAUUUAAAAAAAUCUUAUCUGCAAAAAUUGGCGAGAAUGACAGAAAUUCUACAUGAUGUUAUUUCUUCAUCUAAGAGUGCAUUUAAGGCUGCCUGGAUGAAACUUUGCACUGAUUUUUGUAUAAUAGUCGACCAUUCACUAUUUGACAAAAUGUUUCAGAAUGCCUGUGAAGGUGACGUUUAGAGAUAAGUCCCUAUAUUUUGCAACUUGAAAGAUAAUUAUUUAACAAGUUGAAUAGAUUCCUGAAAUUGUUCGAAGUGGUUCAUAAUGUUCUUUGAGUUUUGAGUGAGAUGUUUGAUUUCAAUGUCUGGAGUUAUGUCCCAUGAAGUAUAUCUUGUCACUAACUGAUAAAACAGAUUGGGAAAACUAGGUGCCAAAGGUAUAUUCAAGAAAACACCAAAGACCCAAAGAUGAGUGUUAGAGAGACUAUGACAAUGAAGAUAGGAAUCUAAAACAAGGAUGGCACAGGACAUAGGAGAGCAUUGUUAAAAGGUUUUGGAAUGAUUUUCUUACUAAUGUGCUUUCAGAGCACUUUAUACAUGAUAAUGAUAAUCAAGGACACUGCUUUAAACAGAGACAUUAUGAGACUUUAGUGAUCACGUGUUUUGGCCAAUUUAAAUAUGGUGAUUUGUCAACAUUGUCUCUUUCCUAGUUGGAAGCCAUCUUGUAACCAAGAAGGCCUUUUUCUCGUCAAGAGAAUUUUGUUUUUAGUUUUGAUUCACUACUUGCUCCCUCUAAUGAAUCAUAGGGGUGAUUAACAUGGAUGCUUUGAGUAUAAAGAAUGUUAGUACUCUAAUUAGCAUGCAUUGUUGAAGACCACAUAGAUAUAUAAUUGAUAAAAGUAUCAGGUUUAUAUUUAAUUGCUCAAUCAAAAUUAGGAAAAAAUGCUUUAGAACAAACUAAAAAAUUAUAAUUGAGGCUAAUUUGUAAAGGCAGUUUAGUAUGAAUGGUGAGAUAGCUUUGAAAUACAAAUAUAAAUAUUUAAAAAUUAAGUCAAGGGCAAAAAUUUGGCACCAAAGUUGAAAAACUUUAUUUUACUGCUUAUAAAAUAUCUUAUUUCUCAAAAUGCUUCUUUUAAAAUGUCGAUUUCUUAAGCAAUGGGGAUAUUAAUUGAAUAUAUUCCAAAUAUGAUAGGAUAAUUAUAUUAUCGUAUAACUAAAAAAUAGAAUUAGCUUUCUAAUAGUUUAAAAUUCUUUACUGAGAAGAACAUUUGGCUUGGUUUAGGACAGUGUCCAUAAGAAAAACACACCAGUGCUAACAGAAGUAAGUUAAAAAAUGUCACAUAUUAAAAUUGCUUGAGGAGAGAAAUGCAAAUACUUUGGAAUAGAAAAGAGAGGGAGUG
This is a long non-coding RNA of Hipposideros armiger (great roundleaf bat), 2961 nucleotides long. RefSeq lists it as uncharacterized. The transcript is spliced from 4 exons. Lineage: Eukaryota; Metazoa; Chordata; Mammalia; Chiroptera; Hipposideridae. The record is from RefSeq and is a predicted model, not a curated record.